Molecule: ribosomal RNA, 490 nt
Filed under: uncultured bacterium
Lineage: Bacteria
Description: partial 16S ribosomal RNA
Rfam family: Bacterial small subunit ribosomal RNA
Source: RNAcentral
AUUGAACGCUGGCGGCAUGCCUUACACAUGCAAGUCGAACGGCGGCAUGAUCUAGCUUGCUAGAUUGAUGGCGAGUGGCGAACGGGUGAGUAAUACAUCGGAACGUGCCCUGUAGUGGGGGAUAACUAGUCGAAAGAUUAGCUAAUACCGCAUACGACCUGAGGGUGAAAGUGGGGGACCGCAAGGCCUCAUGCUAUAGGAGCGGCCGAUGUCUGAUUAGCUAGUUGGUGAGGUAAAGGCUCACCAAGGCGACGAUCAGUAGCUGGUCUGAGAGGACGAUAAGCCACCCGGGGACGGAGACGCGCCCCAACCUCCGACGGGAGGCGGAGGGGGGAAUUUUGGAACAAGGGGAGAAGGCUUGACCCAGCAAGGCGGCGUGUGUAAAGAGGUCUUGGGGUUUUAAAGGACUUUUUGCCGAAAAAAAAAUGGCUGGGUUAAAUCCCGGGGGUCGAGGAGGGAACGGAAAAAAAAGGGCCCGGCAAACUCCGUC